GGUGCGCGCGGUCGCUGAGUGAUGUGCCAUCUGAGGCGUGGUGGGACUCAAGUUCCAGCCCCGAGACCUUCUAAAUCACACCGGAAAGACACGCGUUGGGCUUGCGAUCUGGCCGACUGGGCGGGCCAGGGGUCGCAGUGGAGGGAAGCACUGGAAAAGUGUGAAACAGGGAGACACGGCUUCCUCGAGAAACAAACUAAGCUAACAAAUGUUUUGGAUUCUUUGUGCAGCUCGUUUUACCACGCUGUUUCAUGCAUGUUACUGUAUUUGGACACCACGGCCUCCUGAGUGGUCUCCCUCUCUGCUGCAGGCUCUGCUGUCAUCCAGAGACACUCGAUUAUCUCUGUGGGAUAAUUUAUUCGUUCGGUUAACAUACGUUACGGCGAGCUUUUUACACACGCGUGCUGUUCUAAGCACCGAAGUUACGCAGGCUUUAUAAACGUGUUCCAGAUAAAACAACAAGGACAAACGCCCCGAGGUGGGGACAGUGUGACUGGAGCAGAGGGAGAGGGGAAAAAUGGAAGGACCCGCAAUCGAAUCGAACAUAUCUGCUCUGAGGGAAGCCAUGUACAUCAUUAGCAGUUCUAUAAAGAGGAUCAUGUGGCAAGAAACUGAAACAUUCUGCCAGCAGCCCUGUGAAUGAACAUGGAAGUAGACCCUCCAGCCCUAAUCAAGUCUUCAGAGACUGGACUCUCAACCAACGACUUGACUGCAACCUCAUAAGAGACCCUGAGCCAGACCACCCAACCAGAAACUGUGAGAUAAUGUUUGUUGUAUUAAGAUGCUAAAUUUGAGGGUCAUUUGUUAUAUGAGGCAAGUAAAAGGUAAGAGACAGUGAAAAGUCAGUAGAGUCAGUAAGUUGUACAUCCCUGUAGCGGUCUAAGAUUUGUUAGAGCUCAUUGAAAGAAUGUGCUAAAAUAAGAGGUGAUGAUCUGACAGUAGGAUGCUUGAAGCUGAGUGUAUGGAGAAACUGUGGUUAUUGGUGCUGUCAAAGUCUAUGGUAUGACCAAAGAAGGGAAAGCUAAGGUAGGUUAAAGAAAAAGAUCACUGGAGAAGAAGAGGUCGUAGAAACCAAGCACCAGAGCAUUGAAUGGAUGAUCCAUGAGGAUACUGAAAUCACCAAAAAAUAUAAUAAGAAUAAUGUUGGAGAGAGCCAGGAGCAACGAUUUUCAAGGAAUUUCAGGAAAAGGCUUGGAGGUUGGUGGAUAAGUAUAGCUUGGAAAGCCAAGCAUGGUAUAGUCUGAUGACAUGAGGUUCAAAGUUAAAGGUAAGGUUAAGAAAAAGGGAGGAGGUAGUUUAGCGAUAGCACUGAGUAACUGAAUAGCAAGAAGGAAACCCAUCCUACCUCCACCCAGAGGGGCAAGGAACAAAAAACAGCUACUAUUAGGUGACUGCAAAAGUAAUUCUGGUUUUAAUUGUUGGAAUUUGCCAUUUGAU
This is a non-coding RNA of Saimiri boliviensis boliviensis (Bolivian squirrel monkey), 1437 nucleotides long. The record is from RefSeq and is a predicted model, not a curated record. Lineage: Eukaryota; Metazoa; Chordata; Mammalia; Primates; Cebidae.